AACCUUUACACUGCACGCCAGUGCGAUAAGGGGACUCCAAGUGCGAGGGCAUAUAGUCCUCGCUUUUCUGGACCGUAAGGAGGUCCAGGAACAAGGGCUGGGCAAGACCGGUGCCAGCCGCCGCGGUAAUACCGGCAGCCCAAGUGAUGGCCGCUCUUAUUGGGCCUAAAGCGUCCGUAGCUGGCCAGGCAAGUCCGUCGGGAAAUCCGCACGCCCAACGUGCGGGCGUCCGGUGGAAACUGCCUGGCUUGGGACCGGAAGACCUGAGGGGUACGUCCGGGGUAGGAGUGAAAUCCCGUAAUCCUGGACGGACCACCGGUGGCGAAAGCGCCUCAGGAAGACGGACCCGACGGUGAGGGACGAAAGCUCGGGUCACGAACCGGAUUAGAUACCCGGGUAGUCCGAGCUGUAAACGAUGUCUGCUAGGUGUGACACAGGCUACGAGCCUGUGUUGUGCCGUAGGGAAGCCGUGAAGCAGACCGCCUGGGAAGUACGUCCGCAAGGAUGAAACUUAA
Molecule: ribosomal RNA, 515 nt
Filed under: uncultured archaeon
Lineage: Archaea
Description: bacterial SSU rRNA
Rfam family: Archaeal small subunit ribosomal RNA
Source: RNAcentral